CUGCUGCUCCAGUUUCAACUGUUCUGCCUGCAGCUAUGGAACCCUGACCUGUUCACCGGACGUGCUACCUCUCCCAGACCUGCUGUUUUCAACUCUCUAGAGACAGCAGGAGCGGUGAACCAUUUCGCAGCAAAUGUCAGGCCCUGCUUUGAGGACCUGGGUGAUGGUGAAGGCGGAUGGAGAGGUGACGUGUGUGCACACUGCACUUGUAUGGCAGGGUUGGCAGAGUCAUGUUCCCAUGUUGGAGCCCUGUUAUAUGCAGUGGAGGAAGGCGCCCCCAUGCGAGAAUCGGUCACACGCACGAUGGAACGGAGCAGCUGGCUGAUGCCUGCACAUGUAAAAAAGAUACCAGCAGCCCCUGUAGCCGACAUUGAUUUCUUAUCAGCAAGGGCUAAGAAGAUGAACCAGGCAGGUUGUACAAUGGAGCAGGCAACUUCAUCCCUGACUUGGCGUCCCUUUUCAUGGUUACAGACAUGAAGCUGAUGCCAGGAAACAGUAUGCAGAGGUCAUGUCCCUUGAACAUGAGAACUUUGUGGUCCAUGGCAGUGGCCUUCAGCUGAUGCCAAUUAGCCAUACAUAGGUGCCACACCUGAUGGGCUCCCUCAUUGUUACUCCUGGUGUAGGAGUCUGUGAGAUUAAGUGACCGGGAACAAUGAAAUUGCGCUCUGGUCAAUCUAUGGAGCCCGGUAUGCCAUGCUGACAGAUUCACCUACUGACAACAAUGAACAACAACUUAAUACAUACAAUUUGUCAGCCAACCACAGAAAUGGAAUUGAUUGAUUAAUCAAAUUAUGAAUGAAUUAACUAUGUUCUCAAGUUUCAAUGUGUGAUUUAGUGUGUGUGUGUGUGUG
Molecule: long non-coding RNA, 851 nt
Organism: Salmo salar (Atlantic salmon)
Lineage: Eukaryota; Metazoa; Chordata; Actinopteri; Salmoniformes; Salmonidae
Source: RefSeq, a predicted model, not a curated record